Molecule: transfer RNA, 74 nt
Filed under: Deltaproteobacteria bacterium RIFCSPHIGHO2_02_FULL_44_16
Lineage: Bacteria; Deltaproteobacteria
Also listed under: 1 other name
Description: tRNA-Arg
Rfam family: tRNA
About the family: Transfer RNA (tRNA) molecules are approximately 80 nucleotides in length. Their secondary structure includes four short double-helical elements and three loops (D, anti-codon, and T loops).
Source: RNAcentral
GCGCUCGUAGCUCAGUGGAUGAGAGCAUCUGACUACGGAUCAGAAGGUCGCAGGUUCGAAUCCUGCCGAGCGCG